RNAcentral lists this ribosomal RNA (441 nucleotides) under uncultured bacterium. Its description in RNAcentral is "partial 16S ribosomal RNA". It matches the Rfam family "Bacterial small subunit ribosomal RNA", at positions 338 to 795 of the family's 1533-position model. The record is from RNAcentral.
CCUACGGGGGACAGCAGUGGGGAAUAUUGCACAAUGGGGGAAACCCUGAUGCAGCGACGCCGCGUGAGUGAAGAAGUAUUUCGGUAUGUAAAGCUCUAUCAGCAGGGAAGAAGCAAGUCGGUAGCUGACUAAGAAGCACCGGCUAACGACGUGCCAGCAGCCGCGGUACUACGUAGGGGCCAAGCGUUAUCCGGCUUUACUGGGGUGAAAGGGAGCGGAGACGGUAUUGCAAGUCUGAAGGUAAAACCCAGGGCUUAACCCUGGGACUGCUUUGGAAACUGGUAGACUAGAGUGCUGGAGAUGUAAGUGGAAUGCCUAGUGUAGCGGUGAAAUGCGUAGAUAUUAGGAGGAACACCAGUUGCGAAGGCGGCUUACUGGACACUAACUGACGUUGAGGCUCGAAAGCGUGGGGAGCAAACAGGAUUAGAUACCCCUGUAGUC